Molecule: ribosomal RNA, 537 nt
Filed under: uncultured bacterium
Lineage: Bacteria
Description: bacterial SSU rRNA
Rfam family: Bacterial small subunit ribosomal RNA
Source: RNAcentral
ACGGGUGAGUAACGCGUGGGAAUCUACCCUUUUCUACGGAAUAACGCAGGGAAACUUGUGCUAAUACCGUAUGUGUCCUUCGGGAGAAAGAUUUAUCGGGAAAGGAUGAGCCCGCGUUGGAUUAGCUAGUUGGUGGGGUAAAGGCCUACCAAGGCGACGAUCCAUAGCUGGUCUGAGAGGAUGAUCAGCCACAUUGGGACUGAGACACGGCCCAAACUCCUACGGGAGGCAGCAGUGGGGAAUAUUGGACAAUGGGCGCAAGCCUGAUCCAGCCAUGCCGCGUGAGUGAUGAAGGCCCUAGGGUUGUAAAGCUCUUUCACCGGAGAAGAUAAUGACGGUAUCCGGAGAAGAAGCCCCGGCUAACUUCGUGCCAGCAGCCGCGGUAAUACGAAGGGGGCUAGCGUUGUUCGGAAUUACUGGGCGUAAAGCGCACGUAGGCGGAUCGAUCAGUCAGGGGUGAAAUCCCAGGGCUCAACCCUGGAACUGCCUUUGAUACUGUCGAUCUGGAGUAUGGAAGAGGUGAGUGGAAUUCCGAGU